AUCUAGCUGACGAGUCCAAAAUAGGAUGAAACACGCAUCCUGGAU
Non-coding RNA from Schistosoma haematobium, 45 nucleotides. NCBI's taxonomy places the organism in Eukaryota, Metazoa, Platyhelminthes, Trematoda, Strigeidida, Schistosomatidae. The record is from Rfam.